UGCCUGUGGUGGAGAGUUGUCUCAUUGGCAAUUAUGUCAUAUCUUCCUUUUUAUAUUGGUGUUUUUCAUCGACGACAGAAUAGGCAAAUAUGUCUUAUUUAUCAAUAAAUUGUCAGUUACUUUUAUUUGGAAUGCAUUUCAAGAAAAAAGUCUCAAGUUGUUGAUAAAAUAAAAACAUGAGAAGAGUGUCCUUUUCUCACUGAGUCAAUGCAAAAUCUCAGGUUUCCAAUCAUCAAAACAAAAUCUUUUGAUGAAACGACUGAAAUUUAUUGUUUAAUAUUUAAUGUCUAAUUUCAAAAUCAUGCAAGAAAUAAUUAUACAAUGAAAUUAACACAAAUUUGACACGUUAACGAAUAUAGAUAAGAAACAAAAGAAUAAUACCAAUACCAAUCACAAACGCAAAUCUAUAUUUAGAAUAUCAAAGUCAUGUCAACUCAGUUCGUUUAAGGUCUGUUUGAUUCAUUCUCUUAUGUACCACUAAAUAAUUUCAUAGGGAAUCAUAAACAAAGUGUUCUAGAAACGUUGAAAUCGUUAUCAAAUAAAACGUGAAGCUAGUUUUUUUGCUGAUAUGCAUUUCAAUUCUUUUGAUGUUAUCAUGAUGAAUGAAUGACCUCAUUCAUUAAAUGAUUUCUCCAAAACAGCACCAACCGUUGAGUUACGUACCAACCGUACCAGAUACGUAGCAAAUCGGGAAACCUCUAGUAGAAGAAUACCGACGGACUUAAAUAUCGAAAUACGCAUGAACUUUGAGAAAUGGCUUAUUUUGAAUAAUUGAACGGACUGCCUUAACCCAUCUGCUCAUAUUAUACACCAAAUUAAAGCCUAUUAGCAGCCGAUCAAAAUAGCAGCCACUUCAAAAUCGAAAUCGAAACCGAAUAAGGAAAUGAAAAUCGAAAAAGGAAAAAGAAAACGAAUAAGGAAACGAAAAAAAGUCUUUUGAAAAAAAAUUUGAGGAAAAAAAAAUUUUAAAGAAAAAAAUAUUCAGUUUGGAAUUGUAAUAUUUUUUUUAUAAAAUUUGAAUAUCGAAAAAGGAAAUGGAAACUGAAUAAGGAAAUAGAAACCGAAUAAGGAAAUGAAUAUCGAAUAAAAAAAAAAAACGAAUAAGGAAUGAUAAUCGAAAAUGGAAUAAGAAAACGAAUAAGGAAACGAAAAAAAAUUUUGAAGAAAAACUUUUCGAGGAAAAAUAUUUUGAGGGAAAAAAAAAUGAGGAAAAAAAAUUGAUGAAAAAAAAUUUUGAGGAAAAAAAAAAUUUGAGGAAAAAAAAUUUGAGGAAAAAAAUUUUGAGGAAAAAAAAAAAUUUGAGGAAAAAAAAAUUUGAGGAAAAAAAAUUUUGAAGGAAAAAAAAAAUUCAGUUUGGACUUGUAAUAUUUUUCAAAAUUUGAAUAUCGAAAAAGGAAAUGAAAAUCGAAAAAGGAAAUAGAAACCGAAUAAGGAAAUAGAAACCGAAAAAGGAAAUGAAAAAAGGAAAUAGAAACCGAAUAAGGAAAUAGAAACCGAAAAAGGAAAUGAAUAUUGAAAAAGGAAAAAGAAACCGAAUAAGGAAAAAGGAACCGAAUAAGGAAAAAGAAACCAAAUAAGGAAAUGGAAAUUGAAUAAGGAAAUGAAAAUCCAAUAAGGAAAUAGAAACCGAAUAAGGAUCUAGAAACCGAAAAAGGAAAUGAAUAUUGAAAAAGGAAAAAGAAACCGAAUUAGGAAAUGAAAAUCGAAUAAGGAAAUGGAAAUCGAAUAAGGAAACGAAAAUCCAAUUAGGAAAUAGAAACUGAAUAAGGAAAUAGAAACCAAAAAAGGAAAUGAAUAUUGAAAAAGGAAAAAGAAACCGAAUAAGGAAAUGAAAAUCGAAUAAGGAAAUGGAAAUCGAAUAAGGAAAUGAAAAUCCAAUAAGGAAAUAGAAACUGAAUAAGGAAAUAGAAACCGAAUAAGGAAAUGAAUAUU
RNAcentral lists this long non-coding RNA (1932 nucleotides) under Mytilus galloprovincialis (Mediterranean mussel). The record is from RNAcentral. Lineage: Eukaryota; Metazoa; Mollusca; Bivalvia; Mytilida; Mytilidae.